RNAcentral lists this small nuclear RNA (161 nucleotides) under Cajanus cajan (pigeon pea). RNAcentral's name for it is "snRNA gene-KK1_011037". Lineage: Eukaryota; Viridiplantae; Streptophyta; Magnoliopsida; Fabales; Fabaceae. The record is from RNAcentral.
ACAGGGGUCGCGCGAACGCAGACCCCCUCAACCACAAAUUAUGAUGUAGGCUCUCCCACUUGGGGAGACCUUAGGGUAGCACCCCUCCUAAGUGCAAUGGAAGUUACCAACCUAGGCCAUGAACCUUCCUGAUCGUCCAUAGACCCCAUCCAGGUAAGUAU